RNAcentral lists this transfer RNA (73 nucleotides) under Chryseobacterium phosphatilyticum. Its description in RNAcentral is "Chryseobacterium sp. ISE14 tRNA-Gln". It matches the Rfam family "tRNA". Rfam says of the family: Transfer RNA (tRNA) molecules are approximately 80 nucleotides in length. Their secondary structure includes four short double-helical elements and three loops (D, anti-codon, and T loops). Further hydrogen bonds mediate the characteristic L-shaped molecular structure. tRNAs have two regions of fundamental functional importance: the anti-codon, which is responsible for specific mRNA codon recognition, and the 3' end, to which the tRNAs corresponding amino acid is attached (by aminoacyl-tRNA synthetases). tRNAs cope with the degeneracy of the genetic code in two manners: having more than one tRNA (with a specific anti-codon) for a particular amino acid; and 'wobble' base-pairing, i.e. permitting non-standard base-pairing at the 3rd anti-codon position. Lineage: Bacteria; Pseudomonadati; Bacteroidota; Flavobacteriia; Flavobacteriales; Weeksellaceae. The record is from RNAcentral.
UGAUUCAUAGUGUAAUUGGCGAGCACACAAGAUUUUGAUUCUUGGAGUUUAGGUUCGAGUCCUGAUGAAUUAA